Molecule: non-coding RNA, 1255 nt
Organism: Xyrichtys novacula (pearly razorfish)
Lineage: Eukaryota; Metazoa; Chordata; Actinopteri; Labriformes; Labridae
Source: the annotation of a GenBank genome assembly
GACAUUUUUCUGGAAUUUUUAAAAUUAUAAUUCUGACCUUUUCCUAACAAUGACUUUUCCUCUGAAUUAUUACUUUUAUCUUCAAUCUGUUUUUCUUCAGUAAUCUCACUUUUUUCUAGAGUUAUUUUGGAACUUUCUUUAAUUGAUUUAUCUUUUGCUAGAAUUCCCAAAUAAGAGUCACUGACUUUUAUCUCUUAUUCAACAUUUAAACUCUGACUUUCUGACCUCAGGAUUCUCCAUUUAAAGUCCAACUCUCCCCAAAAUUAAAAGUUUUAGACCAGAAGUUUUUUUUUUUUCUCUCAUUUUAUUGGAAAAUUAUCAGAAUUCUUAUAUUUAUUGUUCAGUAGUAAAACACUCUAAAGUCUCUUUACUAUCUCUGCAAGCUCUUUUGAAUGAUCAUUUAUUUUGCAUUUCUAUGUAUUAAAUAGAACAUAGGAGGAUGAAUUAGAGGGUCAAAUACAUGUCUCAUUAUCUUUAUAAUAAUGCAGAAUCAGGCUUUUUUCCUCUAUAACACACUCUUAAACCUGAACUUGUAGAUGAAUUUGCACUCAAGUUUUUGUUGUUGGCUAAUCAACAUGUAAUUUUUCCUGUUUUCAAAAGCCAUGUGAUUAACUUACUUAGAGGAGGGAUGGGUACAAAGGGGCAAAUUUAGGAUUGACAUUUUAUUUUUCACCUUUUGACAAACCAAAUGAGUUAAAAUGUAACAGAGCAGUUUGAUUGGUUGGGUCUGAUGGCUGCCCCGCCUACCUCUCUGCUGAUAUGUUGUUAAUACACCGUCUGAUGAAUGUACUUUUAUAUGUAGAGAGGAGAAAUGUAGAGAGCGAGCAAAGAGUACAAUCAGAGAGUUAAUUUUGCUGUUUGAUGAAAGAGAUGAAGAGAGUCAGAGUUUGAUUUCCACAGAGGACAGAUAGAAAUCAGACUGAAGGACUGAUCCUCAUCAGUGUCACUUUUUCUCUUCUGAGCCCUCACAGAAUUGUACUCAAAGCUAUGCAUCCAAAUGAAUCUACACAGGUGUCUUUCUGAGCUCCAGGUGUUUGUGUUUGACCUCUGACCCGUGCUGUGUGACACACCUGGAGACGCUGUGUUUUUACAGCUGUUUAAUGUGUGUAAACGUGUGUGUGAGUGUGGUGAGUUUGAUCCAGCAGCACUCAGUGUGGAUCUGUAUGAUAACAUGUAAAUAUGGACGUUUUGUAGCAGCCGAACAUGAAUACUCCUUUUGUAUUUGACUUUUAAUAAAAACAGAUUUUUCCCCAAA